RNAcentral lists this ribosomal RNA (468 nucleotides) under uncultured bacterium. Its description in RNAcentral is "partial 16S ribosomal RNA". It matches the Rfam family "Bacterial small subunit ribosomal RNA", at positions 28 to 507 of the family's 1533-position model. The record is from RNAcentral.
GACGAACGCUGGCGGCGUGCUUAACACAUGCAAGUCGAACGGAAAGGCCCUGCUUUUGUGGGGUGCUCGAGUGGCGAACGGGUGAGUAACACGUGAGUAACCUGCCCUUGACUUUGGGAUAACUUCAGGCAACUGGGGCUCAUACCGGAUAGGAGCUCCUGCUGCAUGGUGGGGGUUGGAAAGUUUCGGCGGUUGGGGAUGGACUCGCGGCUUAUCAGCUUGUUGGUGGGGUAGUGGCUUACCAAGGCUUUGACGGGUAGCCGGCCUGAGAGGGUGACCGGCCACAUUGGGACUGAGAUACGGCCCAGACUCCUACGGGAGGCAGAAGUGGGGAAUAGUGCACAAUGGGCGGAAGCCUGAUGCAGCAACGCCGCGUGCGGGAUGACGGCCUUCGGGUUGUAAACCGCUUUCGCCUGUGACGAAGCGUGAGUGACGGUAAUGGGUAAAGAAGCACCGGCUAACUACGUG